AACCCAUGGUGAGGGCACCUUCUCAAUAAGUCUCGAUAUUGUUCCCAUGCGUCAUAAAGAGUUUCUAAAUCCAUCUGCACAAAAGAAGAGAUAUCAUUCCUUAGUUU
Non-coding RNA from Gossypium arboreum, 107 nucleotides. The record is from Rfam. NCBI's taxonomy places the organism in Eukaryota, Viridiplantae, Streptophyta, Magnoliopsida, Malvales, Malvaceae.